This 365-nucleotide ribosomal RNA is filed under the name uncultured eukaryote. Its description in RNAcentral is "partial 18S ribosomal RNA". It matches the Rfam family "Eukaryotic small subunit ribosomal RNA", at positions 592 to 976 of the family's 1831-position model. The record is from RNAcentral.
CAAUAGCGUAUAUUUAAGUUGUUGCAGUUAAAAAGCUCGUAGUCGGAUUUUGGCUGAGAACGAACGGUCCGCCGUUAGGUGUGCACUGUUUGGUCUCAGCUUCCUGGUGAGGAGGUGUGCUUCACGGCCACUUAGUCACCGUGGUUACUUUGAAAAAAUUAGAGUGUUCAAAGCGGGCUUACGCUUGAAUAUAUUAGCAUGGAAUAGCACCAUAGGACUCCUGUCCUAUUUCGUUGGUCUCGGGACGGGAGUAAUGAUUAAGAGGAACAGUUGGGGGCAUUCGUAUUUCAUUGUCAGAGGUGAAAUUCUUGGAUUUAUGAAAGACGAACUUCUGCGAAAGCAUUUGCCAAGGAUGUUUUCAUUGA